Molecule: ribosomal RNA, 281 nt
Filed under: uncultured soil bacterium
Lineage: Bacteria
Description: partial 16S ribosomal RNA
Rfam family: Bacterial small subunit ribosomal RNA
Source: RNAcentral
GGAGUGAACGCUGGCGGCAUGCUUUACACAUGCAAGUCGAACGGUAACAGGCCGCAAGGUGCUGACGAGUGGCGAACGGGUGAGUAAUGUAUCGGAACGUGCCCAGUCGUGGGGAAUAACGCAGCGAAAGCUGCGCUAAUACCGCAUACGAUCUAUGGAUGAAAGCGGGGGACCGUAAGGCCUCGCGCGAUUGGAGCGGCCGAUAUCAGAUUAGGUAGUUGGUGGGGUAAAGGCUCACCAAGCCAAACGGUCUGUAGCUGGUCGUGAGAGGACGACCGACG